This 153-nucleotide microRNA precursor is filed under the name Loxodonta africana (African savanna elephant). RNAcentral describes it as "miRNA (ENSLAFG00000024062.1)". The stretch from base 50 to 101 matches the Rfam family "mir-1302 microRNA precursor family". The record is from RNAcentral. Lineage: Eukaryota; Metazoa; Chordata; Mammalia; Proboscidea; Elephantidae.
AAUACAGGCCACCCAGUUAAAUUUGAAUUUCAGAUAAACAACAAUUUUUUUUUUAGUGUAAUUAUGCUUCAUGCAAUAUUUGGGACAUACUUACACUAAAAGAUCAUUCAUUGUUGAUCUGAAAUUCAAAUUUAAUUGGGUGCCCUGUAUUUU